AAGACCUUGCGCUUUUGGAGCGGCCGAUGUCUGAUUAGCUUGUUGGUAAGGUAAAAGCUUACCAAGGCUUCGAUCAGUAGCUGGUCUGAGAGGACGACCAGCCACACUGGGACUGAGACACGGCCCAGACUCCUACGGGAGGCAGCAGUGGGGAAUUUUGGACAAUGGGGGCAACCCUGAUCCGGCCAUGCCGCGUGAGUGAAGAAGGCCUUCGGGUUGUAAAGCUCUUUCAGCCGGAACGAAACGGUUACGGUUAAUACCCGUGACUACUGACGGUACCGGAAGAAGAAGCACCGGCUAACUACGUGCCAGCAGCCGCGGUAAUACGUAGGGUGCAAGCGUUAAUCGGAAUUACUGGGCGUAAAGCGUGCGCAGGUGGUUUUGUAAGUCAGAUGUGAAAUCCCCGGGCUUAACCUGGGAACU
Molecule: ribosomal RNA, 423 nt
Filed under: uncultured bacterium
Lineage: Bacteria
Description: bacterial SSU rRNA
Rfam family: Bacterial small subunit ribosomal RNA
Source: RNAcentral